RNAcentral lists this long non-coding RNA (2336 nucleotides) under Mus musculus (house mouse). RNAcentral's name for it is "long non-coding RNA chr2:57368383-57370719". Lineage: Eukaryota; Metazoa; Chordata; Mammalia; Rodentia; Muridae. The record is from RNAcentral.
GACACAAUUUCCAGUCCCACAAGUUCUGAAUCUUGUAGCGUGUAGCACUGUCAGGCCUGUUCUUGUCGGGGUGGGCAGUAGUGACGGUAUUUGCAAAGAGAUAAUAAAAAAGAACUGGGCAGACUUCCGUUAACUUUAAUUAUGAAAUUGAAAUAAGGCAUGCCACUUUAAUAUUGGAGGCUGGUCUGUUUGCCAAAGGCCCUUCUCUUUGUGUACUCACUGGAAAAACUCUCUUUCUAACAAAAAAAAAUACAAUAAAAUAAAAAUCCAAGAUAGACAUCAGACAUAUACGUAGGAAUACACACAAAUCAAACCCCAAAGUCGGUGUCCUUUGAACUCAGCAAAUAAUGCACAGACUGGAGAUGCCCGCCAGGUGGAAUGUUUUUUGUUAUAUUCUGUUGGCAUUAUAACUAGUAAUCUUAAUACUUAAUUAAUUGGCUUCCCUUUUCUGAAACUACCAGUGAUGAGAUCCCUGUGCAUCAUAGGAGGUGGACCCCUUCGUUCCCACUUCUCUCCCGGCAGCCUUUCUUGCACAGGCUGUGUCUCAGCUUUGUGAACUGAUCCAUAAAGCACCCUUGUGCUGCUAUUCUGCCUGUGCAAACAUUGUGUCUCUCUGCCUCAUUCAUUAUGGGUUAUGAGUCCACAUAUCAUAAUAUGAGCUGGGAGGUCUCAGCCCCCGUCCCACUCCACCCCCACCCCUGAAAUAUGCAGACUUCAGGAAUAGACAGCUCAACUCAUUAUUAAAUGAAGUAUCGAUACUUCCACUUCUAUUUCCGGGAAGCCUGACACCGGACAAGUGAUGUCACAGCAGAUGUCACUGUGAAAUCUUUUUUUCUUUCAAAGUGUCAAUUUUUUACACUGGUUUUUAAUCUUUAUAUUUUUUAAAAUAGAUGGAAGCAUGUGGCUUUGAGAUUUAGUGGGUUUUUUUCCCUAUCAUGACAAUAAAGUUCACUUUAUACCUCGUGACAGUCAAGUCGGCAGAAAAAGCUGUCCUUUAAGACAUCCCAGCAGAUAUAUCACAACAUUCUACAUCACUACUCCUUUCCCCUCUCUCUUUCUCUCUCUCUCUCUCUUUCUAGUUAGAUCAAGAUAACGGUGGCUUGUGUCAUCCCGAUUCUCUUACAGUAGGGACCGGGCUCAGAAUGUGACUUGCUUAGGCCGAUGUGGGCUUGGCAAGCACGUCUCGUUUGUAUAUGUUUUGCUGUGAAUGAAGUUCCUUUAAGGACAAAGGGAAGUGCACUGUGCUUCAUUUGAGCAUAUCUGCCUUGGCUUAGCAUCUGCUUAUUCUAAGACACGCUCCUUCACCCGUCCCAGAGACUCACGUUGGACAUGAAAUACUUUUAUCACGUUCCUGUGAGUAAAGCAACCCGGGAUUUUCCUGAGUUCCCAAUUAAACCUGUACAGGUUUUCACAUUUUAAAUCCAAUUUAAGCAAAGAGGGAAAGGACACAGGGGAAAGAAGCCCCUUUAAAACUCAUUCAGAGAAUAAACCAUGUUUGCUUUUUCAUAUAAACCUGGUAUUUGUUGAUUUUGUUUGGGUGUGGGAGUGGGUGCGCAGAGCUCACCUUUUAUCAUCGAGUGAUUUAUUUCCUUUGACGGGAUUCAGGUGAAGGAAGCCCAUCUGUGCCGGAGAGCUCUAUAUGCCUUGAACUAGCCUAGCCUCUGUCCCAGUUGUGAUGACAGCGAUAACGCUGGAUUACUGGUUUAGCUACAGUUGUCUGCCUCUGAGUCCUCAUGCUGCAUAUUCCUGCUUUCCAGUCUGUUCCUACUGAGUGUGAUGUCACAUCUCUGCUCUCAAAUGCAUGCUUCCUAAUCUGCUUCAGGUUAUGCCUCGAGUUUGGUCUAUUUCAGAAUGUGGACAACAAAAAUGUUCAUUCUGGUUUUAACUCAGUACAAAUAGAGGUUGUCAUUGAUUUCUCUUUCCCUCUUUUCCUUAUUUGUAAAAAGUCUUUUUGCAUAUGAAUGUAAUCACACCAACGUCACCAAUGCUGUGAACUUGCACUGCCUAGGGAGCGGAAAAAAGCCCUACUGUGUUUAAAAAGAACAUCCGCUGUUAACCCAGCCCUGGAGCGGACACACUUGCUGCAUGUUCUCUUACUUCCUCAGUUUUAGGUGUUGUGUUGGGUUAUCGUUCUAGACUGGACUGUUAAAUGCCGUCUGUGAGGCUGGACUGUCACUUUUAUAACUGUCUUCGUAUUUUAUCACCAUUAUUUAUUACUUUUGAUAUACAGAAUGAGCCGCAUGCAUUUAUAGAGCCAUAAGAAGAUGUAUUUAAUGUGCCUUGUUUUUAACUGAGUAAGAGCUGAAAGCAUGAAUCAAUAAAACUGAUUAAAGCGC